UACGGGGGGGGCGAGCGUUGUCCGGAAUUAUUGGGCGUAAAGGGCGCGUAGGCGGAAUGGUAAGUUAGGGGUGAAAACCAUGGGCUUAACUUAUGGCCUGCCUUUAAAACUGCCAUUCUUGAGUACGGUAGAGGGAAGCGGAAUUCCUGGUGUAGCGGUGAAAUGCGUAGAUAUCAGGAAGAACACCGGUAGCGAAGGCGGCUUCCUGGACCGCAACUGACGCUGAGGCGCGAAAGCGUGGGGAGCAAACAGG
This 253-nucleotide ribosomal RNA is filed under the name uncultured bacterium. RNAcentral's name for it is "partial 16S ribosomal RNA". It matches the Rfam family "Bacterial small subunit ribosomal RNA", at positions 524 to 776 of the family's 1533-position model. The record is from RNAcentral.